UGAGCUGGCAAAGAUUCUGAUGUGAUGUUGUUGCUAGUGAAUUUUGUUCGGGAAGGUGGUGCCUUUCUCUGAAGUGUAAUAAGAAACCAGGUAGUUGGCUAGGCGUUGGAAUUCCAGUUUGCUGAAGCCGAGGUGAAAUUAGUUUGAUUUAUUGACUUAAGGGUCCGAGACAUGGGUGCAUAGGCAUCUUACUUUUUUAUACUUGAUCUUCGACUGUAAUUAUACCUAUUGUUCGCUUGUGAUGGAAUAAAUAACCCUCUGAAAAUGUCAUUCAGUCGGGCGAUUCGAUGUGAAGAUGGAUUUCCUUGACAUUGGUGGCACAGAAUAAACUUUGACAAGAUUGAGAUGAUCAAAUGUGAAAGGAAAAUUGGUGGUAUUGUUACCGCUAGAAUCUGGGUUUAAGUCAGUCUCUACCCGAGGUGUGUUGAGAUCGGCUAGAACUGAGGUUUGCCGAGGUCGGUUGAAACCGAGGAGGAAGGCGGGAUUGACCUGCAAAGAAGUCUACUUGCCGGAAGGUUCUCUGUGGGGACCCUCCGAUGCUUAAGUUAGUAAAAAUCUAGAGAAACAAUGGGAGAGAAAAAGAGAGAGAGAGAGAGAGAGAGAGAGA
RNAcentral lists this long non-coding RNA (607 nucleotides) under Phoenix dactylifera (date palm). RNAcentral describes it as "long non-coding RNA (PDAC_LNC020748)". Lineage: Eukaryota; Viridiplantae; Streptophyta; Magnoliopsida; Arecales; Arecaceae. The record is from RNAcentral.